CUAGGAGCGGAGCAGAAGAAGAGCAUGAAUAAACGCUGGUGCUAAACCCGACACAACACAUGCUCGCUCAGAGCACGGGGAGAACAGAGGGGAGAACACAGAUUCCUGGGACAUAACAAUGUAAAUCUUAGUUUAAUCCUGACGCAUGGCAGUAGUUUCAUUACAUUCGGUAGAAGUUCUCCAGCCCGUAGAGAGCUGUGAACGUGGUGCGGUCUACGAUGCCAAUAUUGCUGACAGAAAUGUCAACAAUGAAGCCCCUCGGAGUGCUCCUGAAUUAUAGGUACUUUCAGAUUUCAAAGCUGAAGGAGAUGAACUACAGUGGACUCAAGCUCAACAAAUUGUGCCCAAAUCUGACCUUGCAGGAGGAUUAUUCAAUGUAAUUCAUCUGACCUAAAUACAGUUACUCCUGAAGUGACAGAACGAGGGCAAAAUUUAUAUAAGCAAGAGACAGGAGAAUGAGAUGGAGGUGGGGCUUUACCAAGAAAGGUUUGUAGAAUCCCCCUCUCAUAUCUAAUAUCCCCGCACAAACUCUGUCUCUCGGUUACCUCCUCUAGCUGCCCCUCAUGCUGAGGAUCUUUCAAAUUCAGCAGUUGAGGGCAAAGCAGAGAACUAACGUAGAAUUUUUCCUGGCAGUCUCCUCACCUGUUUUCUUCCUAUUUGUGAGCAGCAAGCUGCAUUUUCUGCAGCAUUUUUUCAUUCAACAUUCAAGCCAGGGGCUAGCCAAAGCAAAGAGACUAACAAACUGCUGCACGUGCAAAGGCACAAAUACACACGGUGUAUUAUUCCAACAGCACCUGCAGGCUUUGAAACUAUAACAAGACAAUUUCUUUUAUAUUUUAGAAAAUGGAGAACAUGGAGCUUUUUGCACUGAAAUUGACACUUGUGUAACACAGGGAGGAGCAAUAUUCCCCAGGGCAAAUUCAGUUAUAUGCAACAGUUGCUAUCAUUUAUGGUUUCUUGGAGGAACACAGAACCAUUCCUAAGUCCCAGUCACUAACAGACAGGAGGCAGCAAUUGCUUUUUCCCUGUGUCACGUGAAGAAAGACUGUAACUGGUGUGCACAUCCGGCACCCAUAAAAACUCCUGUGAUCCAAAAAAGACAAAAGCAACAUUAUUCGGAUGUUUCAGCAACAUUAUUCAGAUGUUUCAUUAUUUCAGAUGGGAUUAAUGAUUUUUUUUGUUUCAUUUUUGAAUGCUUUUAAAUCCUUUUAUUUAAUUCUUUCUUGUAAAUUAAUACACUAUUUCAGAUGCACAGUAACACAGUAAUUUCUCAUCUUAUACACAUGUAAGACAUAGGUAUGUGUGUAUGGAAAGUACCAACAGCAUUUGCAACUGUCCUUGAUCUCUGGGUUUGUGGCUUUAUAAGCUGUUUUUACUCACAGUUACAUGUUCUUUGCUAAUCUUCUUGCCUGGUUAUUUCUCAAUUUAUUUUCCCAUGCUCUUGGUCUUCCCUGCUUCAUUCCUUCCUUUUCAUUUCCCUCUUCUAAUUGUGCUGGUAAGCAAUGUUCUUGUCACAAUUCUCUUCCAAUACAGCCAUUAGAUUUGGUACUGUCACUUGAAUUAAUAGCUUUUGCGCGAUUGCUUCAGCUGCUUCUGGCCUCUGAAAUUCCCUCUUCUCAGCCAGCAGCUCUCACAGCUCUGCACAGCAGUUGUCUGUACAAUUUUAAAAGGCUGACUUUUAGUUUCAAGGUAACCUUUCUAUUCUUUCACAUCUGUAGUAAAUUUGCAAUGGGUAUUCUAGUUGUACCUCCUUUGUAAGUAAAAUAUCUUGUUCAUGUGGGCUAUCUUGACCAGAAACUGAGUCUAGAUAGAAAAACUCUUCAGUUUGCUCGAGUCCUUCCCUUGCGCGGCAAUUUUCACAUCUUGUUCUCCAUGAGUACCACCUAAUGAAUUGUACCUCAAAACUUUAACAGAUUUCAAUUCACUUUCUUUAUUUUUAACUGUCAGUGAACUUACCGGCUGCAUUUGUAGACCCUUACAUAAAGGUGAGAUUUAAAGGGGCAACAGAAUACGUCAAAUUAUUCACACAAACACAUUGACCCAGCUUCAAACUGCCACAGCGAUAUAAUGCUGCCACAGCGUGAACAGGACCUAUGUAUCGAUAACCAGCAUAACUGUGCAGCACAAAGUCAAAAGCUGGAUACAAAACAGCCUCGAACUGUCUCCUGAAGGCUGUCAUCUCCAAUUAAUCUGACGGAGAGACCUCUGGAGGGAAGAGACUGGCACCGAUGUCUCUGGCACUACCGAAUCAAUGCACUCACCAGCUGAACAAACAUUCACUUACAGAACGUUUAAAAGGGAUAAAUGCACAAAACCGUUUCAAAGUGACACUAGCAUAAGGAAGCAGGGGAC
Cygnus olor (mute swan) is the source of this 2352-nucleotide long non-coding RNA. RefSeq lists it as uncharacterized. The record is from RefSeq and is a predicted model, not a curated record. Lineage: Eukaryota; Metazoa; Chordata; Aves; Anseriformes; Anatidae. The transcript is spliced from 3 exons.